This 1108-nucleotide long non-coding RNA is filed under the name Ornithorhynchus anatinus (platypus). Its description in RNAcentral is "lncRNA (ENSOANG00000049311.1)". The record is from RNAcentral. Lineage: Eukaryota; Metazoa; Chordata; Mammalia; Monotremata; Ornithorhynchidae.
AGGCAAGGACGAACAUCAGGAGCCCCCAUUUCUCCAGCUGGCUGCUGUGUAACUCUAGGUAGAUCACGUAACCUCUCUGGGCCCCGGUUUCCUCCCUCCUCAUCUCCCAAGAAGUCUGAGCUCCCAGGUGUGGAGUGCUUUGGAAGUCGUUGCUAUGACGAUAGGAGAGCCGGGAGCAGGGCGGGGUGGCCUUGCGCAAAUGAUGCCACUUGUGAGGUCACCGGUCUGCCACCCAGGGAGAUGCCCCCAGCAGGGGCUGGAAUCCAGCCUGGGUUGAGUCAGCUCAGCGGGGCCCCUCCCCACGCACCCCCUUCGCCCCCGGCUUCCAUCCCACAGACGGGCUUUCUUGCGGUCUACCCCGUGUCCUCUGACAGAUUCUGAAAGCAGGUGGACGAGGGAAGACUUUAGCAGGAAAUAGCACAGAUGCAUCAGGAUGAAGUCUUUGAAUAACUGAAUAUACAAAGAGACAUAAAAAAAAUAAUAAUAAUAUUAAUAAUGGUAUUUGUUAAAAGCCCACUAUCUGCCAAGCACUGUUCUAAGCGCUGGGGGAGAAACGAGGUUAUCAGGUGGGGCUCACAGUCUUAAUUCCCAUUUUCCAGAGGAGGUAACGGAGGCUCAGAGAAGUCAGUGACUUGCCCGAAGUCACACAGCUGAAAAGUGGCGGAGUGGGGAUUAGAACCCAUGUGUGGUCUUUCCACUAAGCCAAGCUGCUUCUCUAAAUAAAACUCUUCCCUUGCACAAGAGUAGUGAGGAGAGGAAUAAAAGCACAAGUACCAAGAGGGAGUAUUAAUUAGGUUGGGGUGACUGAUUAGGGUGCGGAUUGAUCAGGGAGGUUUUCUAAGGAGGGUGGAGCGAUCGAUUCGUGUCUGCUUGUCUUCCCUAUUGGACUGAAAACGCCGCCCGAGAACAAGGAUGGCAUCUUAAUAAUAAUAAUACUGUUGGUAUUUGUUAAGCGUUUACUAUGUGCAGAACACUAUUCUAAGCGCUAGGGUAGAUACAGGGUCAUCAGGUUGUCCCACGUGAGGCUCACCGUUAAUCCCCGUUUUACAGAUGAGAUAACUGAGGCACAGAGAAGUUAAGUGACUUGCCCACAGUCACACAGCUGACA